RNAcentral lists this ribosomal RNA (57 nucleotides) under Macromitrium ousiense. Its description in RNAcentral is "partial ribosomal RNA". Lineage: Eukaryota; Viridiplantae; Streptophyta; Bryopsida; Orthotrichales; Orthotrichaceae. The record is from RNAcentral.
CUGAUCGGAAAAGAACACGCACUGAAUUUAAGCAUAUCAAUAAGUGCAGGAGAAGAA